UUCAAUCCAAAAAUGACGAGGUCGAUUUUGUUUCGCCACCGACCAAGUAAAUCAUUUUUCGAUAUCUAAAGUAUUUUUUAUAAUAACCGGGAAAACCCAAAAAGACGAAAUAUACGAUUUUUUUCAAAUUACAACACAACGAUUUCAUUAUUUUAAAUUUGUACGGCUUAUGUUUUCUAUCAUUAAUAUUGCUCCAAUAGAUAAAAGACGAG
Non-coding RNA from Cinara cedri, 212 nucleotides. Lineage: Eukaryota; Metazoa; Arthropoda; Insecta; Hemiptera; Aphididae. The record is from the annotation of a GenBank genome assembly.